AUCCCAGCUAAAAUUCCCUUUUGGUUAUCCGAUUCAUGGGAGGCAAACAUUUACAAUGGAGAUUUUGCUGAGAGCACCUUUUUUUUUUUUUUCCAGUCUUUCUGGAGGUGUUUUACUUGUGUCUUUCCAUACAUGG
RNAcentral lists this small nucleolar RNA (136 nucleotides) under Prunus persica (peach). Lineage: Eukaryota; Viridiplantae; Streptophyta; Magnoliopsida; Rosales; Rosaceae. The record is from RNAcentral.